GAUGAACGCUAGCGGCAGGCCUAACACAUGCAAGUCGAACGGUAGCAUGGAUUGCUUGCAAUCUGAUGACGAGUGGCGAACGGGUGCGUAACGCGUAUGCAACCUACCUUCAAUCGGGGGAAUACCCCAGAGAAAUUUAGGUAAUAAUACCCCACUAGUACAACGAAUUCGCAUGUUUUGUUUGUUAAAGUUUAAGGUCGAUUGUAAGAUGGGCGAUGCGUGACAUUAGUUAGUUGGUGAGGUGACGGCUCACCAAGACUACGAUGUCUAGGGGUUCGUGAGAGGAUGAUCCCCCACCACUGGUACUGAGACACGGACCAGACUCCUACGGAGGCAGCAGUGAGGAAUAUUGGAC
Molecule: ribosomal RNA, 355 nt
Filed under: uncultured bacterium
Lineage: Bacteria
Description: bacterial SSU rRNA
Rfam family: Bacterial small subunit ribosomal RNA
Source: RNAcentral